This is a long non-coding RNA of Agelaius phoeniceus (red-winged blackbird), 496 nucleotides long. RefSeq lists it as uncharacterized. Lineage: Eukaryota; Metazoa; Chordata; Aves; Passeriformes; Icteridae. The record is from RefSeq and is a predicted model, not a curated record.
GCAGCUCCGGCCAGAGGCAGAAACCCCGAGCCCACGGCAGGCAAAUGCUCCUUCCCAAAAACAUGAGCGGCUCGGCGGCGUGGGGAUGGGUGGCAGCCCCCCGGCAGCGCUGCCUGCGCCGGGUUCAUUUGAAUGCGAGCCAUGCAGAGCGCUCGCCACCGCCACUGAGGUGAUGUUCCAGCAGAAUAUUCCCAGUGAAUUGACAAGCACAGACUUUCUUCCCAGCAACGGGCACCCUAAAGAGCCCUGGGUAGAAGCUGCCAGGCAGUGAUGGACCAACAGCUCAAGGAAGGGGCCAGGAGAAGGGAAGCUGCUCUGGGAGGUCAGGAAAGGCCAGCUAACCACCAAAACUCGGGAGCAUGUUGAUAUCCUGACAAGGCCUGGUGGCAGGGGUUUCAGGGCUCCUUUCUGCUCCCAGGAAGUCAGGGAUGGGUGCAGGGAUGUCGCCAGCCCAGGCCAGAAGCAAUAAAGCGCCUGGAGUGAUGCAGCAAAACAG